CAGUCGCCACGGGAAUACGGAGGGUGCAAGCGUUAAUCGGAAUUACUGGGCGUAAAGCGCACGCAGGCGGUCUGACAAGUCAGAUGUGAAAUCCCCGGGCUUAACCUGGGAACUGCAUUUGAAACUGUCAGGCUGGAGUCUUGUAGAGGGGGGUAGAAUUCCAGGUGUAGCGGUGAAAUGCGUAGAGAUCUGGAGGAAUACCGGUGGCGAAGGCGGCCCCCUGGACAAAGACUGACGCUCAGGUGCGAAAGCGUGGGGAGCAAACAGGAUUAGAUACCCGCGUAGUCCCUGUCUCUUAUAA
This 301-nucleotide ribosomal RNA is filed under the name uncultured bacterium. RNAcentral describes it as "partial 16S ribosomal RNA". It matches the Rfam family "Bacterial small subunit ribosomal RNA", at positions 509 to 809 of the family's 1533-position model. The record is from RNAcentral.